GAUGAACGCUAGCGGCAGGCUUAAUACAUGCAAGUCGUGGGGCAGCAUGAGUAGCAAUACUUGAUGGCGACCGGCAAACGGGUGCGGAACACGUACACAACCUUCCGAUAAGUGGGGAAUAGCCCAGAGAAAUUUGGAUUAAUACCCCGUAACAUAUAGAGUAGGCAUCUUCUUUAUAUUAUAGCUUCGGCGCUUAUUGAUGGGUGUGCGUCUGAUUAGGUAGUUGGCGGGGUAACGGCCCACCAAGCCUACGAUCAGUAGCUGAUGUGAGAGGAUGAUACGCCACACGGGCACUGAGACACGGGCCCGACUCCUACGGGAGGCAGCAGUAAGGAAUAUUGGACAAUGGGCGAAAGCCUGAUCCAGCCAUGCCGCGUGAAGGAUUAAGGUCCUCUAGAUUGUAAACUUCUUUUAUUUGGGACGAAAAAAGGGAAUUCUUUCCCACUUGACGGUACCAAGUGAAUAAGCACCGGCUAACUCCGUGCCAGCCGCCGCCGUAA
This 500-nucleotide ribosomal RNA is filed under the name uncultured bacterium. RNAcentral's name for it is "partial 16S ribosomal RNA". It matches the Rfam family "Bacterial small subunit ribosomal RNA", at positions 28 to 523 of the family's 1533-position model. The record is from RNAcentral.